UUUCCGUAGGUGAACCUGCGGAAGGAUCAUUAAAGAGUAGGGGUCUCCGGGCCCGAUCUCCAACCCUUUGUUUAACUACCAUGUUGCUUUGGCGGGCCCGUCUCACGACCGCCGGAAGUUUGGCUUCGACCAAACUUCUGGCCCGUGCCCGUCAGUGGCCCCUUCAAAUUCUUGAUCAAGUAUGAUGUCUUGGUUAAAAACUUAAUAGUUAAAACUUUCAACAACGGAUCUCUUGGUUCUG
This 241-nucleotide unclassified non-coding RNA is filed under the name plant metagenome. Its description in RNAcentral is "partial contains small subunit ribosomal RNA, internal transcribed spacer 1, and 5.8S ribosomal RNA". The record is from RNAcentral.